This 29-nucleotide non-coding RNA is filed under the name Mus musculus (house mouse). The record is from RNAcentral. Lineage: Eukaryota; Metazoa; Chordata; Mammalia; Rodentia; Muridae.
UAGGCAGAAAGAAAUUGAGGAAGACACUU